CCUACGGGCGGCAGCAGUAGGGAAUAUUCCGCAAUGGAGGAAACUCUGACCCAGCAACGCCGCGUGAAGGAUGAAGGUUUUCGGAUCGUAAACUUCUGUCGCGAGGGAUGAAGAAUGAUGGUACCUCGUAAGACAGCACCGGCAAACUACGUCCCAGCAGCCGCGGUAAUACGUAGGGGGCGAGCGUUGUCCGGAAUGACUGGGCGUAAAGGGAGCGUAGGCGGCAUAAUAAGUUAGAUGUGAAAGCCCGCGGCUCAACCGCGGAAUUGCACAUAAAACUGGUAAGCUGGAGUGCAGGAGAGGUAAGUGGAAUUCCCGGUGUAGCGGUGGAAUGCGUAGAGAUCGGGAGGAACACCAGAGGCGAAGGCGACUUACUGGACUGUAACUGACGCUGAGGCUCGAAAGCGUGGGGAGCAAACAGGAUCAGAUACCCCUGUAGUC
This 441-nucleotide ribosomal RNA is filed under the name uncultured bacterium. RNAcentral's name for it is "partial 16S ribosomal RNA". It matches the Rfam family "Bacterial small subunit ribosomal RNA", at positions 338 to 795 of the family's 1533-position model. The record is from RNAcentral.